CCUACGGGUGGCAGCAGUGAGGAAUAUUGGUCAAUGGGCGGGAGCCUGAACCAGCCAAGCCGCGUGAGGGAUGAAGGUACUGCGUAUUGUAAACCUCUUUUGUCAGGGAACAAAGGCGGGGACUAGUCCCCUGAUGAGGGUACCUGACGAAUAAGCAUCGGCUAACUCCGUGCCAGCAGCCGCGGUAAUACGGAGGAUGCGAGCGUUAACCGGAUUUAUUGGGUUUAAAGGGUGCGCAGGGGGGUCGUUAAGUCAGGCGUGAAAGGCCGGGGCUCAACCCCAGAAGUGCGGUUGAAACUGGCAGGCUUGAGUUGGAGUGAGGUAGGCGGAAUGCGUGGUGUAGCGGUGAAAUGCUUAGAUAUCACGCAGAACCCCGAUUGCGAAGGCAGCGUACC
This 395-nucleotide ribosomal RNA is filed under the name uncultured bacterium. RNAcentral describes it as "partial 16S ribosomal RNA". It matches the Rfam family "Bacterial small subunit ribosomal RNA", at positions 338 to 730 of the family's 1533-position model. The record is from RNAcentral.